AGGUUUUUUCCAGGAGACCCUGCUGCUCAGUGCUGUAAACAGCCAUGGUGGCUCCUUUCUUCUUGCAUCAGGCAGUUACAAGCAUGGGCCAAGCUUGGUGGUGAGAUCCUGGACUACAGGGACUUGGCAGCCCUUCCUAAAAGUAAGGCCAUCUAUGACAUCGACCGCCCCGACAUGAUCUCCUACUCACCCUACAUCAGCCACUCUGCAGGGGACAGGCAGAGCUACGGCGAGGGGGAUCAGGAUGACCGGUCCUACAAGCAGUGCCGGACCUCCAGCCCAAGCUCCACUGGGUCGGUCAGCCUCGGGCGCUACACUCCGACCUCACGGUCACCACAGCACUACAGCCGUCCAGCUGGUACUGUGAGUGUGGGUACCAGUAGCUGCCUCUCCCUGUCCCAACACCCAAGCCCUACAUCCGUGUUCAGACAUCAUUACAUCCCCUACUUCCGAGGCAGUGAAAGUGGCCGGAGCACCCCCAGCCUCUCCGUGCUCUCUGACAGCAAGCCGCCCCCCUCCACCUACCAGCAGGCACCUCGCCACUU
Molecule: small RNA, 545 nt
Filed under: Pan troglodytes (chimpanzee)
Lineage: Eukaryota; Metazoa; Chordata; Mammalia; Primates; Hominidae
Description: processed transcript
Source: RNAcentral